GGGAAUGUGGUUUAGUGGUAGAGUUCAUGCCUAGCACGCAUGAAGCCCUGGGUUUGAUUCCUCAGUACCA
RNAcentral lists this transfer RNA (70 nucleotides) under Dipodomys ordii (Ord's kangaroo rat). It matches the Rfam family "tRNA". From Rfam's summary of the family: Transfer RNA (tRNA) molecules are approximately 80 nucleotides in length. Their secondary structure includes four short double-helical elements and three loops (D, anti-codon, and T loops). Lineage: Eukaryota; Metazoa; Chordata; Mammalia; Rodentia; Heteromyidae. The record is from Rfam by way of RNAcentral.